Heterocephalus glaber (naked mole-rat) is the source of this 301-nucleotide long non-coding RNA. The record is from Ensembl. Lineage: Eukaryota; Metazoa; Chordata; Mammalia; Rodentia; Bathyergidae.
GGCCUCGGCAGCUGCGGGCUCGGGGCUCCCGCCGGCCCGUGCCCCACCCCCUCCCGGGGUGUCCUGCUGUGGGCGCCGCCGCCCCCGCCCGGCUGGACUGAGGACUGCCCGCGGCCCAGAGCUUUGCCCCCGCCUGUGGGGUCGGUGACCCGGAGUUGGAGGGAGAGGGAGCGAGGGCUCGGGCGCGAAGGUUUGGCUGGAAUCGAGGGUGAACAGAGUCGACGGAUUCUGAUGUUUCAGCUCAUUCCCGAAGUACCCAUGGAAGAUGUUAGAGGAUAAACUACCAGAUAUGACCACUGAA